This 447-nucleotide ribosomal RNA is filed under the name uncultured bacterium. RNAcentral describes it as "partial 16S ribosomal RNA". It matches the Rfam family "Bacterial small subunit ribosomal RNA", at positions 29 to 523 of the family's 1533-position model. The record is from RNAcentral.
AACGAACGCUGGCGGCAGGCUUAACACAUGCAAGUCGAACGCUCCGCAAGGAGAGUGGCAGACGGGUGAGUAACACGUGGGAACGUACCCUUUACUACGGAACAACUCCGGGAAACUGGAGCUAAUACCGUAUGUGCCCUUUGGGGGCAAGAUUUAUCGGUAAAGGAUCGGCCCGCGUUGGAUUAGCUAGUUGGUGAGGUAAAGCCCUACCAAGCCGACGAUCCAUAGCCGGUCCGAGAGGAUGAUCAGCCACCUUGGGACUGAGACACGCCCCAAACUCCUACGGGAGGCAGCAGUGGGGAAUAUUGGACAAUGGGCGCAAGCCUGAUCCAGCCAUGCCGCGUGUGUGAUGAAGGCCUUAGGGUUGUAAAGCACUUUCACCGGAGAAGAUAAUGACGGUAUCCGGAGAAGAAGCCCCGGCUAACUUCGUGCCAGCCGCCGCAGUAA